CACAUGCAAGUCGAGCGGUAGCACAGAGAGCUUGCUCUCGGGUGACGAGCGGCGGACGGGUGAGUAAUGUCUGGGAAACUGCCUGAUGGAGGGGGAUAACUACUGGAAACGGUAGCUAAUACCGCAUAACGUCGCAAGACCAAAGUGGGGGACCUUCGGGCCUCAUGCCAUCAGAUGUGCCCAGAUGGGAUUAGCUAGUAGGUGGGGUAACGGCUCACCUAGGCGACGAUCCCUAGCUGGUCUGAGAGGAUGACCAGCCACACUGGAACUGAGACACGGUCCAGACUCCUACGGGAGGCAGCAGUGGGGAAUAUUGCACAAUGGGCGCAAGCCUGAUGCAGCCAUGCCGCGUGUGUGAAGAAGGCCUUCGGGUUGUAAAGCACUUUCAGCGGGGAGGAAGGCGGUGAGGUUAAUAACCUCACCGAUUGACGUUACCCGCAGAAGAAGCACCGGCUAACUCCGUGCCAGCAGCCGCGGUAAUACGGAGGGUGCAAGCGUUAAUCGGAAUUACUGGGCGUAAAGCGCACGCAGGCGGUCUGUCAAGUCGGAUGUGAAAUCCCCGGGCUCAACCUGGGAACUGCAUUCGAAACUGGCAGGCUAGAGUCUUGUAGAGGGGGGUAGAAUUCCAGGUGUAGCGGUGAAAUGCGUAGAGAUCUGGAGGAAUACCGGUGGCGAAGGCGGCCCCCUGGACAAAGACUGACGCUCAGGUGCGAAAGCGUGGGGAGCAAACAGGAUUAGAUACCCUGGUAGUCCACGCUGUAAACGAUGUCGAUUUGGAGGUUGUGCCCUUGAGGCGUGGCUUCCGGAGCUAACGCGUUAAAUCGACCGCCUGGGGAGUACGGCCGCAAGGUUAAAACUCAAAUGAAUUGACGGGGGCCCGCACAAGCGGUGGAGCAUGUGGUUUAAUUCGAUGCAACGCGAAGAACCUUACCUGGUCUUGACAUCCACAGAACUUUCCAGAGAUGGAUUGGUGCCUUCGGGAACUGUGAGACAGGUGCUGCAUGGCUGUCGUCAGCUCGUGUUGUGAAAUGUUGGGUUAAGUCCCGCAACGAGCGCAACCCUUAUCCUUUGUUGCCAGCGGUUAGGCCGGGAACUCAAAGGAGACUGCCAGUGAUAAACUGGAGGAAGGUGGGGAUGACGUCAAGUCAUCAUGGCCCUUACGACCAGGGCUACACACGUGCUACAAUGGCAUAUACAAAGAGAAGCGACCUCGCGAGAGCAAGCGGACCUCAUAAAGUAUGUCGUAGUCCGGAUUGGAGUCUGCAACUCGACUCCAUGAAGUCGGAAUCGCUAGUAAUCGUAGAUCAGAAUGCUACGGUGAAUACGUUCCCGGGCCUUGUACACACCGCCCGUCACACCAUGGGAGUGGGUUGCAAAAGAAGUAGGUAGCUUAACCUUCGGGAGGGCGCU
Molecule: ribosomal RNA, 1410 nt
Filed under: Klebsiella variicola
Lineage: Bacteria; Pseudomonadati; Pseudomonadota; Gammaproteobacteria; Enterobacterales; Enterobacteriaceae
Description: bacterial SSU rRNA
Rfam family: Bacterial small subunit ribosomal RNA
Source: RNAcentral